Molecule: long non-coding RNA, 1218 nt
Organism: Cucumis melo (muskmelon)
Lineage: Eukaryota; Viridiplantae; Streptophyta; Magnoliopsida; Cucurbitales; Cucurbitaceae
Exons: 3
Source: RefSeq, a predicted model, not a curated record
GCUUUUGUUUUUUCUUUCUCUUGCAAUCUCAUGAUGAUACUCACCGAAUUAUGGGAAUUUGAUUCCAUUCUAACUCCAACUACUCUAAUCUUUUAUCUUUUUAUCUUGGUGUUUUUCUUUUUAGAGUAAAAUUGAUACAGCUAAAGUGUACAAGUGAAAUCACACAAAUAAGUCCUAACACAAAGAUAAUUGAUAUAUACAUUCCAAUGGAAGUAGAAGUUUAAUUGGAUUAUCAUUUAAAAAAAAUUCUUCUUUGCACAAAAAUUUCAAACAAGACAAAGGUGAUAGGAAAAAAGCUUUGAUGCAUCUAAGAUGGACCUAAUCGUUGGGCAAGGUAAUAAAGGUAAGAGAGCAUGCGGGUGGCAGCGGCAUGCAAAAGCCAAUGGGUGAAAACUCAAGUCAGUGAUUUGAGACUUUACUGGUUUUAGGUUUUGGCCCACAAAACCUGGAACUUCCCUUUUCAACUGUGAAGAACAUCUUCGUCUUUUUCAACAUGCGCGCUUGGCUUCGCCUAAAGGAUGAUUCAGAGCAAGAAGGAAGGCUUAAUCAUGUCGUCAGUGAAACUUGGAAAAGUCCAUAUGAACAACCCACAAAAGACAGGUUUGAAGGUUGACCGCAGAGAAACCAAACAAAUAGUUUGAAAAUCUGAUGGCGUAUACACAUUGACUCUAUUUUUUGUCAGAACAACAACAACUAGAAAGAAAAAAAAAGGUGCUUUUCUUACUCUCUAUGCCUUUUUUUUACGUCUCAUUAUUGAAGUAAUGUCUUAGGAAGGAAGAAGCUCUCAUUAAUGAAAACUGAAGCACAUACAAAACUGGAUAAAAGAAAGAAAAAAGUCUUGAAUUGUCAUUUAAGUUUUGGGUGCUGGGUUUAUACACAUUUAAACACACUCUUUUAUUUUGCAUUUAUUUAAGAGUAAAUGAAUAUUAUGUUGUUUCAAUUAAUUAAUUGAUGGUAGUACAAAAAUUAGGAGGUGGGAGCUAGAGUUGGUAUCUUGGAUGGAGAACUUUAAUGUGCGUUUUCUGUAAGUUGUCAAAGUGUGUAGUUACAGACCAACUUGGUCUCAAAGCAUUUUUUUUUUUCAUAUCCUAUCAGAGGUUUUGAAAUUUACCUUACAACAUUUUCAAAUUUAUGAUUGGUAUGUGAAUAAAAUUGGAAAAGAUCAAGGGUGCAAAAGGAAAGGUUUCUGUCGAUAGUGAUCCUUAAGGAUUAUCUAAG